GCUGAGAAACUCAGGGACAAAAAGAGAAUAUCCCUUCAUGACCGGCAAAUUAAAUAUAACCCACAUGUGGACAGAGAAGUGAAUCCCAGACUUGUUACGGCCGGCAUGUGUUCCAGAGGGGACCCGGAGAGGACUGUAAUCCACAUUGUGGAUGGUCGUGAACAUUUUAACACAAUUGACUGACAAAGGUUAAGGUAUAACUAACUUUAAGUUUUUAUAUUGUAUUAUUGUGUAUAGUUGUUUGUAUAGUAGCUGCACAGUUUUUAUUUUAUAUAAAGGAUAAGUUAUCACAUGAUUAUAUAUCGCUGUUUGUAUAGUUGCUUGCUGUGUAGUUUAUUUAUCUAUAAUAUAUAUAGAAAUAAUAUUUACAUCUAUAUUGUUCAUCUAU
Molecule: long non-coding RNA, 388 nt
Organism: Salarias fasciatus (jewelled blenny)
Lineage: Eukaryota; Metazoa; Chordata; Actinopteri; Blenniiformes; Blenniidae
Exons: 3
Source: RefSeq, a predicted model, not a curated record